UAACGUAGGUGGCAAGCGUUGUCCGGAUUUACUGGGCGUAAAGAGCGCGCAGGCGGUCGUGCAAGUCGCGUGUGAAAGCCCCCGGCUACAACUGGGGAGGGUCACGCGAUACUGCUCGACUCGAAGGCAGGAGAGGGAAGUGGAAUUCCGGUGUAGUGGUGAAAUGCGUAGAUAUCAGGAGGAACACCAAUUGCGAAGGCAGCUCGUUGGGACGUUACUGACGCUGAGACGCGAAAGCGUGGGGGAGCAAAACAGG
RNAcentral lists this ribosomal RNA (256 nucleotides) under uncultured bacterium. RNAcentral describes it as "partial 16S ribosomal RNA". It matches the Rfam family "Bacterial small subunit ribosomal RNA", at positions 523 to 776 of the family's 1533-position model. The record is from RNAcentral.